AACGAACGCUGGCGGCAUGCCUAACACAUGCAAGUCGAACGAGACGUUCGGGUGUAGUGGCGCACGGGGUCGUAACGCGUGGGAACCUUACCUUAGGUUCGGAAUAACUCCCCGAAAGGGGUGCUAAUAGCGGAUAAGGUCUUCGGACGAAAGAUUUAUCGCGCUGGGUUGGGCCCGCGUUGGAUUAGGUGGUUGGUAGGGUAAAAGCCUCUUAGGGCGUCGAUCCAUAGCUGGUCUGAGAGGCUGAUCAGCCACUCUGAGACUGAGACACGGCCCGGACUCCUACGGGAGGCAGCAAUGGGUAAUAUUGCACAGUCGGCGAAAUCCUGAUCCAGUUAGGACGCGUGAAUGAUGUUGGUCUUAGGGUUGUAAAGUUCUUGUACCCGUGAUCAUAAUGACGGUACCGGGAGAAUAAGCCCCGGCUAACUCCGUG
This 433-nucleotide ribosomal RNA is filed under the name uncultured bacterium. RNAcentral's name for it is "partial 16S ribosomal RNA". It matches the Rfam family "Bacterial small subunit ribosomal RNA", at positions 29 to 507 of the family's 1533-position model. The record is from RNAcentral.